CUGCUGCCUCCCGUAGGAGUUUGGGCCGUGUCUCAGUCCCAAUGUGGCCGGGUCACCCUCUCAGGUCGGCUACUGAUCGUCGCCUUGGUGAGCCGUUACCUCUCCAACUAGCUAAUCAGACGCGGGUCCAUCUCAUACCACCGGAGUUUUUCACACCAAACCAUGCGGUUUUGUGCGCUUAUGCGGUUUUAGCCAGUCAUUUCUAACUGUUAUCCCCCUGUAUGAGGCAGGUUACCCACGCGUUACUCACCCGUCCGCCA
Molecule: ribosomal RNA, 260 nt
Filed under: uncultured bacterium
Lineage: Bacteria
Description: partial 16S ribosomal RNA
Source: RNAcentral